UAUCGACGGACAGAACCAGAGCCGUGGCUCAUAACGUCAUGUCCCUUCCCAAUCCGUGGAUCAGGAAUCGUGCUUUCCAGUUAUUGCGACAGAUCUGGAGUAAAUGCGGGGAUGGACUCGUCGCCUACCUCAGUCCGCUGGAUUUUUCCAUUAGAGAGUUCAGCUGGGAGGAGUCCUCUUCUCUUCUAGGACAAGGCUAUCCAACGCCGGUGAUGGUGGAGUUCGUGAUGCAGCCAACUUGUUGGAUUGACCAUGUUGGAGGAGGUUAAUCACAACGACGCCCCUAUGGAGUCGUUACAUUAAUCCGGUGACCAAACCAGUUGCCGAGCAAAUGCUGUCGCCGAUGCAGGAGCUGAACGCAGAAGGGCAGAUCUGUGAGGCGCAGGGGGCAGCUGCUACGGAGGAAGGAGGUUCACCACGGGCAUCCGAGCAGUCGAUGGGCGAGAUGAAUCCUAUAGCCCCUGGCUGGACCAAAGGGAACAACAAGAUGUCGCUAGCCGAUGCUCAGGUUCAGAACAGGGCAUUGCCGGGUCAUGACUUCUGGGCAAGGACACAGUUGCAUGUUCAUUUGUAUCACCUUAAUCAAGAGCGGCAAUUAAUGUUUGCAGGAAAAAGCAAGAGGUAGCACACCUCCAAAUGUUCAAGACUCGUUUUCCUUCCUUACAUUGACGAGUAACAUAAGGCAUUUUGUAAAAAGCAGCACCUUCUUCUUUUUCAGUUUGAAUUUCGUCAAUUUUCAUAGUGACCCAUGUUCUGUUUUAUAGACUUUGAAGAAGGAAGCAAGUUUACUUUCUAAAAAUCUGAAGUCCCUUGAUGAGAAUAGAAUAGACGUUAAAAAAUCUUGUGAGGAUCAGAGAGCAGCUCUGUUAAAAUUAGACGAUGAAUUGUAUGCUGUUAAUGAAAAUUAAAUGACAGGAUAACUUGGAUCAGUCCUCCAUUGCUUUACCUAAACCGUAGGCCUACUUGGGUAAUGAGUGGCGACAAAGAAAUUGGGGAGAGAUACCGGCAAUGGAGUUGCGUGUCCAGCUUCUUCCUCGUCUCUGUAGAUAUGGAAGACCUUGCCGACAACACAGUGGUGGAGCUAGGCUGGCAUUAGGCCCUGGGCCACCUCAUGCCGUAUUCAAGCAUUAUAGAUGCAGUAAUCUACAACAGAUAUUAUAGUCCGAAGAAUUUUGUUGUCACGACCACUGCCAAGGAGGAUAGGUGAGGGAAAGGAAAUCAGUUUGUCGGCAUAUAAAUGAAAAACACAUGUCGUUAUGCUCGACACAUAAUCUCUAAAUUAGCACAAUUGUUUGGUCACCGCAUUUUUUUUUCAUUCUUCCAUAGCAAUGCAUAGACAUUCAACUAGUACUUGAUUGAUGCAAGAGAGGAUUGGUGCAACUGCACCUAGUAGGACAUCCUGUCCUAAUCAAGCUACUGGCUUGGAGAAGGCAAUUCUUGGUUUUGCGGACAAUCCUAAUGAAUAUGUCAUUUAACCAAAACUAGGUAUCAACUUUGAUUCUGUAGGAGAAGCAUAUGAUUUCUACAAGGACGCUGAGUUACCAUGCUCGAGCACACAUGAGCUCGUCAUCUUAGCGGUUGAGCUCGACAUCGAGAUUGGGUUCGUUGAAUUGCUGGGCCAUUCCUGUGUUUGUUUGUAAAAAUGGACAUUUCUUUAUACGUCCGACGUGAACACUGGGCGAGCGCCAUCGACGGCUGGAAGCAGAGUUGUGGCUCAGGGCGUCAAUGUCCAUGCCGGUCCGUCGACUGGGAAACUUGCUUUCCAUGAACUGCAAUAGCAACCGUGUUAAUGCACGGAUGGAAUGCAGGAUACAAUUAUCUCCUACCUCAGGAGUGUUGAUUCUUCCAUUAGGGAGAGUGGUGGCCUCAGGGAACAAACUUCUGUACGAAACAAGAAGAAGGUAGGCGCUGAAGAUGGAGUUUUUCAUGAAGCCAAUUAGAACAAUCAUGCCAGAAGAGGUGACUGACAUCAACAUUCCGAUGGAGCCUCUGCAUUACCCAAUCUUCGCAAUGGUUGUGGAGCAGCUGCUGCCCAUGAGGGAAGUGAGUGCGGACAGGCAGAUCUGUGCGACGGAGGCAGCGAUGAAUACACAAGCAAGGAUCUGAGCAGUCGAUUAAGCAGAUCGACCCAAAAGCUCCUGGGUGGAUGCGAAGUGAGGAUUGGUGCUGCCGCAUCAGGCAGGACGUCGUGUCCUACGAGCUACUGCACUUGAGAAGGCGAUUCAUGGUUUCAAAAUUGGGUACAAGCUUUGAUCUGCUCGCCGCAAUCCGGGCAGGGAAUCAGCGGCAAGAUAUCAUCGGCAACGGCAGAUGAGGAAGAGGUAGACAUCAGGUAGUGGAAGAGCACUGCCGAUCUGGUUCCUUGUAAUGGUCUAAUGGACUGUAGAUGUGUGGUGGAUCUAGCCGGAGUUGGAUUUAGCCGGUGAGGAAGGAGGCGAGACGUGUACUGGAAGAUUAGUUGUAACUGCAACGGUGACAUAAACAAAUUAUUUUUUGAGGCAAGUGACAAUAAAUAAUGGGUUGGCAGUUCUCCGUUA
Triticum dicoccoides is the source of this 2537-nucleotide RNA transcript. RefSeq lists it as uncharacterized. The record is from RefSeq and is a predicted model, not a curated record. The transcript is spliced from 6 exons. Lineage: Eukaryota; Viridiplantae; Streptophyta; Magnoliopsida; Poales; Poaceae.